Corvus hawaiiensis (hawaiian crow) is the source of this 237-nucleotide long non-coding RNA. RefSeq lists it as uncharacterized. The transcript is spliced from 3 exons. NCBI's taxonomy places the organism in Eukaryota, Metazoa, Chordata, Aves, Passeriformes, Corvidae. The record is from RefSeq and is a predicted model, not a curated record.
GUAUGUGCCGCAACGAUAGCGUCAGCCUGGGAGCGCAGCCGAAGCGUGCGGCCCCAAGGAGCCCGGCCCUCUUAGGAGAUGCCAACUAAGAGACAACGGCCUGGUAACGGCUGGAACUUCCCAGAUGGCGAGGUGGCCUUCUUUCACACCUGAUGCAGAUUUGCAUCCCCGGACAGCCGAGAGACGCAGAUCGAUUAUAUCUGUGGCGGAGCGCUCCAUACCAGGUGAGGGGGUUCC